This 392-nucleotide unclassified non-coding RNA is filed under the name soil metagenome. Its description in RNAcentral is "partial contains 5.8S ribosomal RNA, internal transcribed spacer 2, and large subunit ribosomal RNA". The stretch from base 1 to 123 matches the Rfam family "5.8S ribosomal RNA", at positions 35 to 154 of the family's 154-position model. The record is from RNAcentral.
GAUGAAGAACGUAGCGAAAUGCGAUACGUAAUGUGAAUUGCAGAUCUCUCAGUGAACCAUCGAAUUUUUGAACGCACAUAGCGCCCGCCGGUCAUUCCGGCGGGCAUGCCUGUCCGAGCGUCGAUGACGCCGCUCGAGCCCCCGUGCUCGGUGUUGGGGCGCUAGGUCUCCCAGAGGCCUAGGCCCCCAAGUAGCAGUGCGCGGUCCGGCUGCGGGCCCCGGGUACAGUAUCUUCACUGUUGAGAUGCCCUGGGAGCCGCUGGCUGAGUCAGCCGUAAAACCCCCGACAUAGGCCUUCCUGUCCGCCCCCGGCGGGGAGGGAGACCGCCUAAUGUUGACCUCGGAUCAGGUAGGACUACCCGCUGAACUUAAGCAUAUCAAUAAGCGGAGGA